This 4975-nucleotide long non-coding RNA is filed under the name Lathyrus oleraceus (garden pea). Its description in RNAcentral is "Pisum sativum (pea) long non-coding RNA (PSAT_LNC020202)". Lineage: Eukaryota; Viridiplantae; Streptophyta; Magnoliopsida; Fabales; Fabaceae. The record is from RNAcentral.
UUGGAAGUUAUUAGAGAGAUAAGUACAGAAUCAACAGAUUCAGUGUUAACAGCUCAACAUAAUAUUCAUUGUAAAUGAUAAUUAAUAAUUAGUUGUCUUCUACCAUAUUUUAGAAUUAGCAUUAAAGGAGAAUAAUUGCUUUGAUUCUCAGGCCAGAAUUGGAUUAUUGAUCUGUCCUUGUACUCUAUAAAUACCUUUCAUGUAUUACUUACUAAUAUAUAAAAGAAAUACAUAUUGGUUGUUUCUUUAUCGGUAUCAGUUGCUGGAAGAAUUCCUUAGGUUUUUUUCUUUUGCUUCCGUUUUUUUUUCAUUUUUCCAUCCCACAAUGUCUGAUCACUCGUCUGAUACCGAGUCCCAGCAUUUCACCCAAACAUUCUUCACCUAAAACUGAAAUACUCCAAUCCAUCAGGACAUACCAUGAAAACCACCCUGUUCAGAUUACAACAAUUCGACUGAACGGCCUAAUUAUUUUCGGUGGUCACAGGUCUGUCUGUUUGUAUCUCAGGGGAAGAGGAAAAUUGGCUACAUCACUGGAGACAAGAAAACAACCAGACAAGGAAGGUGCAGACUACGAUAGUUGGAUGCUGAAAAUUCCAUGGUCAUGACAUGCGUUAGUCAAUUUCCAUGACUGAAGAGAUAGGUGCAAACUAUCUUUGUUAUGCUACUGAAAAGAUCUUUGGAAAAGUGUCGCUCAGAUGUAUUCUGAUUUGGACAACCAUCCCAAAUUUAUGAAUUAACUCUCCAGCUUGGGAGAAAUUCGUCAAGCUGAAGAUUCUGUUACGAAAUACUUCAAUUGUCUCAAGCUAUUUUGGCAAGAUUUGGAUCUGUUCAAUGUAUAUGAGUGGAAGGCACCCGAGGACUGCAGCACUACAAGAAGAUGGUGGAUGUUCGUCGUGUCUUCAAGUUUCUUGCAGGUCUAAAUAUUGAGUUUGAUGAGGUUUUGGACCGAAUUCUUGGCAGGAAUCCUAUCCCUCCAAUUGGUGAAGUAUUUUGCUGGAAGUACGUCGCGAAGGAGAGUCGCAGGCAGGUGAUGCUUGAAAAAAGGUUGUCAUUGUCCCCUCCACCAGUCGAAGGAUCUGCACUGGCUGUUCCUUUAGUCAAUCGCAAACCUUUCCCUAAUCCACGAGUGGUGACCAAGACCAAUUUAUUUGCGACUACUGUGGUCAAAUCGUCACACUCGGCAAAACUGUUUCAAACUACAUGGUAGGCCAAAUAAACAGAAAGGCUGGAAGUUUGGUGACCGCCCUACUUCUAUAACCAAUGAGGCUGACUCGCUCUCCAUUUACUAAGAGCAAAUGGAUCACCUUUUUAAACUUCUAAAGUUCAAUUCAUCACCUACUGUUGCUGUUGGAACUGUGGGCACAAACAGGUAAGAAUUCUUGGGCAUAUCUGUCCAAAAACCACUCCAACCCUUGGAUAAUAGAUUCAGGCGGCAUCUGAACAUAUGACAAAAAUUGUUCUCAUUUAUUCAAUUCCUAUUUCCCUUGUUCCGGUCUGAAAUUAGUAAGAAUUGCUGAUGGUAGUUAUUCUAGUAUUGCAGGCAAAGUAGCAUAAAAAUUUCAAGGCAAAUAUACUUUGCAAUCUUUUUACACGUUCCUAAAUUUGCUUGCAAUCUUCUAUCUGUUCAUAAAUUGUCUAAGGACACUAAUCUGUUCUGUCAUUUUUCGUCCUCCACUUGUGUUUUCAGGACCAGAACUCGGGGAAGAUCAUUGGAAACUGCUAGAGAGAUGAAUGGAUUGUACUACUUUGAUGAAACUCCUCUUGGAAUGCAAUGGUUUUUGGUUUAAACAGUGCAACUUUACUCCCGUUUCAGAUCAAGUAUGUUAUGGCAUAAAAGAUUAGGGCCAUCCUAGUUUCCCUUAUCUUAAGUAUUUAUUUCCAAAAUUUUCCAAAGAAAUUAAAUUCCUCCUCAAUUUCAUUGUGAAGCUUGUCACUUAGCUAAAGAUCAUCGCGUAUCUUUUACUUCAAAAGUUUAUUCUGCUUCACAACCUUUUCAAUUUAAUCCAUAGUGAUGUUUGGGGUCCUUCAAAAAUUAAAACUAUGUCUCCGAAAAAAAUGGUUUGUGACAUUUAUUGAUGACCAUACACGUGUGUGUUGGGUUAUCUCUUAGAAAAAAAAUCUGAGUAGAACAAAGGUUUAAAGAUUUUUUUCACAUGAUUGAAAACCAAUUCAAACUAAGAUUGGCAUUCUAAGGGUCUGACAAUGGCACUGAAUAUUUCAACAAAUAUCUAAGUACAUUCUUAGUAGCUAAGCGGCAUAAUUUUAUCAAUCCACUUGUCGUUGAUACUCCACAACACAAACGGUAUUGCUGAAAGAAAAAAUAGACAUCUCCUUGAAGUUACUAGAGCUAUUAUGUUUUCUAUGAAUGUACCUAAAUAUCUUUGGGGAAAUGCCUUAUAACGGCUUGUACCUCGUCAAUAGAAUGCCAUCUCGUGGUUUAAAAUAUGAGACUCCUGUGCAAGUUUACAAAAAUUAUUUUCCACAUCUCGCAUCAUUGCGGAUCUUCCCCUUAAAGUUUUUGUUGUGGUUGUUAUGUCUACAUCCCAAAUAUUUUCCGUUCCAAGUUGGAUCCUAAGCUGAAAAAUGUGUUUUUCUUGGCUACGCUUCCAAUAAAAAGGGCUACAAAGUUUUAACCCAAUAACAAAGAAUUUUUUGAAAGUAUGGAUGUCAAUUUUGUUGAAAAUCAACCUUUUUUUACUAAAAUUCUCUCAGGGGGAGAAUCAUUGUGUUGAUAAUGAAGAUAAAAUUUGGAAACUUUACCUGCACUGGGAUGAUAUUGUGACUACAAAUCAUCCAGAACCAGAAUGCUUAUCUUGAAUUGUCGGAUAAUAUAAUGUCUGAAACAGGGGGAGAAAAACUGAUGAGGAUCCUAAUCCUCAACUUCAAGUGUAUGUCCGAAAAAGGUUUCACAGAGGUAUUACAAAUCCAAUUGUCUCUCAGGAAAAAAUCCAAUCUGAUUUGCCAAGUGAAGGGUCCUACUGAAACUUCUCCUUCUAGUUCUUCAUCUGGUAUCCAUCUACUCUUCCAAUGAUUUACUGGAUUUGUCUUUUCCUGAUAUGAAUCUUCCUAUUGCUUUGAGAAAAAAAUUCCUGACCUUAAUAUCUCAAUUGCUGAUAGGAAACGUACUCGAACAUGCACUAAACACCCCAUAUCUAAUUACUUGUCAUAUGACAAGUUAUCACACACUCACAAGGCAUAUGUGUCUAGGAUUUCGAAUUGUUUGUGCCCAGAACUAUUCAAGAAAGCAAUUAGGUGAUCCGAAUUGGAAAUUAGCAGUGAAAGAAGAGAUGGAUGCUCUAAGGAAAAAUAAUACUUGGAGUAUCACUGUUCUACCUCAUAACAAAAGGGCAAUUGGAUGUAAAUGGGUUUACAGUGAAAUGCAGGGCUGAUGGAAAUGUAGAAAGGUACAAAGCAAGGCUAGUAGCAAAAGGUUUUACUCAAACUCAUGGUAUAGACUACCAAGACACCUUUGCCCCUGUGCUAAGAUUAAUCCAUCAGAUUCUUCGCUCUCUUGCAGUAAAUUUCAAUUGGCCACUACAUCAAUUUGAUGUUAAAAAUGCUUUUUUGAAUGGAGAAUUACAUGAAGAAGUAUAUAUGAGUCCUUCCUGGAUUUGAAGAAAAUCUUGGACGGGACAAGUCUGCAAAUUGGAAAAAGUCCUUAUAUGGAUUAAAACAAUCACCAAAGGCCUGGUUUGAAAGAUUUGGAAGUGUUGUUAAGAAACAGGGUUCCACCAAAGUCAAGCAGAUCACACAUUGUUCUUUAAGCAUUCAGAUGAAGGUAAAAUUGCUAUUUUAAUUGUGUAUGUCGAUGACAUUAUCAUUACAGGAAAGAUGGUUAACGAGAUAGCUGAUCUAAAGAGAAGACUUGAAGCUGAAUUGAUAUCAAGGACCUUGGAAAAUAAAAGUAUUUUCUCGGGAUGGAGUUCGCAAGGUCUAGGAGGGAAUCUUUCUCAACCAACGCAAAUAUAUACUUGAUUUACUCACAGAAACAGGGAUGACAGGAUGUAAAGCAGCAGAAACACCAAUGGAUCUCAAUGUAAAACUGAAGGCAGCAUCUAAAGAUGAAUGGUAAAUAGGAACGCUACCAAACGACUGGCCGGUAGACUAAUUAUUUGUCGCAUACAAGGCCUAAUAUAGCCUUUGCAGUAAGUGUGAUAAGUCAGUUUAUGCAUGCACGGGACCUACGCAUUUUGAAGCUAUUUUCAGAAUAUUGAGAUAUUUAAAAGGAACUCCAGGGAAGGGAUUGAUGUUCAAAAACAGCGGGCAUAUACAAGUGGAAGCUUACACAGAUGCUGAUUGGGCAGGUAAUAUAAAUGACAGGAGGUCUACUUCAGGCUAUUGUACUUUUGUAGGUGGAAACUUAGUUACAUGAGAAGUAAAAAACAAAAUGUCGUAGCUAGGAGCAGUGCAGAGGCUGAAUUCCGCUCCGUGGCUCAUGGUUUUUGUUAAGUAUUAUGGAUUAAAAAAUUCAUGGAGGAAUUAAAGGUCUCUAGUCCAACACCAAUUAAAGUCUACUGUGAUAAUAAGCAGCUAUUUCCAUUGCCCAUAAUCCUGUCCUACACGACAGAACGAAACAUGUUGAAGUGGACAAGCACUUCAUUAAAGAAAAAAAAUUGACAGUGGUGAAAUUUGUAUGACCUAUGUACCUACCACAAGUCAAGUAGCAGAUGUUCUCACAAAGAGUCUUCCAAAGAGACAAUUUGAUGAUAUGGUGAGCAAGCUUGCAAUGAAUGAUAUAUUCAUGCCAACUUGAGGGGAGUGUGGAAGUUAUUAGAGAGAUAAGUACAGAAUCAACAGAUUCAGUGUUAACAGCUCAACAUAAAUCAUUGUAAAUGAUAAUUAAUAAUUAGUUGUCUUCUACCAUAUUUAGAAUUAGCAUUUAAAGGGAGAAUAAUUGCUUUGAUUCUCAGGCCAGAAUUAGGAUUAUUGAUCUGUCCUUGUACUCUAUAAAUACCUUUCAUGUAUUACUUACUAA